CUGAAAUCUGAAGAGAAAACUGGGAUAAGUAUUGCUGUCUAUUCUUAGAAUUACUUAUCUGGAAGAAGUAGCAGAUAGUUCUCAGCUUGGUGUUAAUUGUGUCAGAUGGGCUAGAAGAGUCCAAGUGCACUGAUGCCUAGGAUGCAUUGCGUGUCUGAACGAUGCAGUGAUGAGAUGCCUUUAUAUGUUGCCCAAUAUUCUCUUUUGAUAUGCUGGUUCUUCUCUGGCUGUGGAUUCCUCCUCUGGGAAAAAUGUUGUGCCCACACCUGAAGACUCCUUCCAGUCGGCUACACAGAAAGGUGUGUUGUUUCUACAGCAAGUGCUUCUAUGACUUACUGGCAUGGUUGCUUUCUGCUUAUUGUGAUUAUGGACAAGAGAGGACAAGUCACAGCUUGGAAGAAGGUGGAAGGACUCAGCUAUUACAGAAGUACUUCACUCUUCAUUACAUUGGCAGAGUAGAAGGGAAAU
Numida meleagris (helmeted guineafowl) is the source of this 468-nucleotide long non-coding RNA. RefSeq lists it as uncharacterized. The record is from RefSeq and is a predicted model, not a curated record. NCBI's taxonomy places the organism in Eukaryota, Metazoa, Chordata, Aves, Galliformes, Numididae. The transcript is spliced from 3 exons.